CCCACACCAAACAGACCUACAAUUAACUGAUGAAACUGUACUAAAUUAUUGCAAGGCAUUAAUGAAGUAUGCCAGGUCUGUUCAUUCACAGGUCCAAGAAGCCUUACCUCAAACACCGGAUGUUCCCCGUCACAACCUUGAACCAGGAGAUUGGGUCUAUGUAAAGGUCACCAAACGUGGACUCACGCCUCACACUGCAAGAAGGUAUCACCUCCAUUGGACCCUGAAGCAGCUGAAUUCCAACCAAGGUUGGGACCUUUCCCUGAGGCCAAGGACAAAGACCCUCAGGACCUCACUCAGGCAAGUGAGGAGCAUCAGGGUGCAAGUGCUAGUAACCUCUCCCCUGAACCCAACACCUCAGCCCAGCUGGAUUCAUCAGUU
This is a long non-coding RNA of Alligator sinensis (Chinese alligator), 381 nucleotides long. RefSeq lists it as uncharacterized. The transcript is spliced from 2 exons. NCBI's taxonomy places the organism in Eukaryota, Metazoa, Chordata, Crocodylia, Alligatoridae. The record is from RefSeq and is a predicted model, not a curated record.